CCGGUUGAUCCUGCCAGAGGUUACUGCUAUCGAGGUUCGACUAAGCCAUGCGAGUCGAAUGUAGCAAUACAUGGCGUACUGCUCAGUAACACGUGGACAACCUGCCCUUAGGUUGGGUAUAAACCCGGGAAACUGGGUAUAAUCCCCUAUAAGUCUCGGCUGCUGGAAUGCACCGAGAUUAAAAGCUCCGGCGCCUAAGGAUGGGUCUGCGGCCUAUCAGGUAGUAGUGGGUGUAGCGUACCUACUAGCCUACGACGGGUACGGGUUGUGAGAGCAAGAGCCCGGAGAUGGAUUCUGAGACACGAAUCCAGGCCCUACGGGGUGCAGCAGGCGCGAAAACUUUACAAUGCUGGCAACAGCGAUAAGGGGACCUCGAGUGCCAGGUUACAAAUCUGGCUGUCGAGAUGCCUAAAAAGCAUUUCAUAGCAAGGGCCGGGCAAGACCGGUGCCAGCCGCCGCGGUAACACCGGCGGCUCGAGUGGUAACCGUUAUUAUUGGGUCUAAAGGGUCUGUAGCCGGCCGGAUAAGUCUCUUGAGAAAUCUGGCAGCUUAACUGUCAGGCUUUCAGGAGAUACUGUCUGGCUCGAGGCCGGGAGAGGUGAGAGGUACUUCAGGGGUAGGGGUGAAAUCUUGUAAUCCUUGAAGGACCACCAGUGGCGAAGGCGUCUCACCAGAACGGACCUGACGGCAAGGGACGAAAGCUAGGGGCACGAACCGGAUUAGAUACCCGGGUAGUCCUAGCCGUAAACGAUACUCGCUAGGUGUCGGCCACGGUGCGACCGUUGUCGGUGCCGUAGGGAAGCCGUGAAGCGAGCCACCUGGGAAGUACGGCCGCAAGGCUGAAACUUAAAGGAAUUGGCGGGGGAGCACCACAACGGGUGGAGCUUGCGGUUUAAUUGGAGUCAACGCCGGG
Molecule: ribosomal RNA, 913 nt
Filed under: uncultured archaeon
Lineage: Archaea
Description: bacterial SSU rRNA
Rfam family: Archaeal small subunit ribosomal RNA
Source: RNAcentral